CGGUAGCAUGCUAACAUGCUCACAAUAACAUGCUAACACACUGAUGUUUUAGCAAGUAAUGUUUCCCAAGUUUAGCGUGUUUUAGUUCAGCGUGUCAGCUUAAAUUCUUUCCAUACAUUUAAGCUGCCUGUUCAUUCACUUCAACUUGUCUGAUCCAAACCCUCCACUGGCAAAGGGCUACAAAUACACUCAUCAGUUGGAGUCCAUCUGUCUCGUGCGUUGACAGCGAAGAGCCGACAACGGGAGAAAGAGACAGACAGUAACAGCCCCGGGGGGAGGUCACACAGCGUGGUCAGAGCCUUGAUGUCGCUCUCGGGUACGGUGGGAUCCGGCAUGGCGAAGAUGCCUUCU
This is a long non-coding RNA of Thunnus maccoyii (southern bluefin tuna), 351 nucleotides long. RefSeq lists it as uncharacterized. The transcript is spliced from 3 exons. The record is from RefSeq and is a predicted model, not a curated record. Lineage: Eukaryota; Metazoa; Chordata; Actinopteri; Scombriformes; Scombridae.